AUGACUCAGUUCUGUGAUGUUCUCUGGAAUGGCAAGGAAGGGUUCGAGGUGAAACAUGUGAGUGGCAGAGGAAGGAGCUAUACAGUAAACUUAGACAAAUGGACUUGCUCUUGUGGUUACUUUCAGCUGGCAGGGCUGCCUUGCUGCCAUGCCAUCAGUGCCAUAUACAAGAGUGGAAGAAACAUAGCUGAUUUCAUUCACAAGUGCUAUUCAGUUGAGCAAUUUAAGAAGAUAUAUGAGCACUGCUUGAAUCCAGUAGAAGGACAGGAGAGAUGGCCUGUCUCAGACAAACCUAGACCACAAGCACCUGGGUAUGUGAGUAUGCCAGGUAGGCCUAGGAAGAAUGACAGGAAGAGGGAAGAGGGAGAAGCACCUAAAGGAAAGAAAAUGUCAAAGCAUGACACUAAAAUUACUUGCAGCAUGUGUGGCCACAAGGGCCACAACAAGACAGGCUGCAACAAGAAUCCUGAAAAGGGGAAGAAGAAGAAUGCCUUCCUGAAGAAAACAGGCAGGAAAAUGAAGUCAUCUGAGCAAGCAAACACUGAUGCUCAGAUCAGAGCAAGCCAGCAGGCUAAGAGCGGAGGAGAAGUUCAAGCACAAGCAAGAAUAAGUGGAGGGAAGAGGAAGGCUACAAACAAACAGAAUGUGCAAGCCAAGAAAAAAUCAAAGAAAUGA
Molecule: ribosomal RNA, 675 nt
Filed under: Triticum aestivum (bread wheat)
Lineage: Eukaryota; Viridiplantae; Streptophyta; Magnoliopsida; Poales; Poaceae
Description: partial small subunit ribosomal RNA
Source: RNAcentral